This is a long non-coding RNA of Canis lupus familiaris (dog), 916 nucleotides long. RefSeq lists it as uncharacterized. The transcript has 2 exons. The record is from RefSeq and is a predicted model, not a curated record. Lineage: Eukaryota; Metazoa; Chordata; Mammalia; Carnivora; Canidae.
ACGUCAUCAGUAAACGGAUGUUUUGAAGGCGCUUGACACCUGUUCCGCGAAGGCCUUUAACCUGCAGCAUAUUUACGUCCGGAGUGGGCUCCUCGCGCCCGCAAGCUGGGACAGAGCAACCGCCCAGCUCCCAGUCCGGCCAGGAAGGCGGCCGCAGGGAAGAGGGGGCCACACCCCCACCUAACGGCUGCAUCUGAGUGAUCCGCCUGCCGGCUCCAGUGCCAGGAAGACUGGCCUUCCUGAAGGUUCUCCUGGUCCCAAAAGUACGGCCAGAAUCGUGAGGAUUGAAGGGCCACCCCGGGACCCACGGCAGCUCGACAGAACCCUUCAAGGACAAGUGCACAAAGUUGAAAACCAGUGUCACCCACCGGAGACAACGAUGUAUGUGUGCCUGCAAAAAUGUACGCUUCAUUUAUCCCGAAUCCCACAUACAUUCAUGAUGAGUUAAGCUACCACAGAUCAUUCAUAAGAGGCUUCUUCGGGCUUUUAUUUAUCAUCUAUAGGACUAUUUUUUAUUCAGUACUAACAAUGAGCUCCUACAUCUACGAUAGAGAAAAAUAUGGGAAGGCCAUCUGAGGCCAGCACACGUAUGCCCACAGCAGUAGGAACUGCCCAGGGCUGACCAGGAGAUAGCAAAAGACACGAAAUAUCUAAACGGAUAACAGGGCAACAGCUGUCCAGGCCUCAACAAGUCCUAUGGUUUACAUCACAACAUGACAAACUAUGUUUAAAAUGUUUACCUGAAAUCGUUAAAGAAUGUGUACACUACAUCCUGCACGUUCUAUUAAGCGUGGAAGUAAUAUAUUGUAGAAAGACUGCUGUCGAGGAGGGAGAUUUUUGGUGCUUAACGGGCAAAAACCCAAAACUAAACUAUCCAGAAAACUCCGCUGUUUCAAAAAACACUUACUUCCUCUAA